RNAcentral lists this ribosomal RNA (483 nucleotides) under uncultured bacterium. RNAcentral describes it as "partial 16S ribosomal RNA". It matches the Rfam family "Bacterial small subunit ribosomal RNA", at positions 28 to 523 of the family's 1533-position model. The record is from RNAcentral.
GACGAACGCUGGCGGCGUGCUUAACACAUGCAAGUCGAACGAUGAAGCCGGAGCUUGCUCCGGUGGAUUAGUGGCGAACGGGUGAGUAACACGUGAGCAAUCUGCCCUUGACUCUGGGAUAACUGCGGGAAACUGUAGCUAAUACCGGAUACGACACCUUGGGGUAUCCCAGGGUGUGGAAAGAAUUUCGGUCAAGGAUGAGCUCGCGGCCUAUCAGCUAGUUGGUGAGGUAAUGGCUCACCAAGGCGACGACGGGUAGCCGGCCUGAGAGGGUGACCGGCCACACUGGAACGGAGACACUGUCCAGACGCCUACGGGAGGCAGCAGUGGGGAAUAUUGCACAAUGGGCGAAAGCCUGAUGCAGCAACGCCGCGUGAGGGAUGAAGGCCUUCGGGUUGUAAACCUCUUUUAGCAGGGAAGAAGCGAAAGUGACGGUACCUGCAGAAAAAGCACCGGCUAACUACGUGCCAGCAGCCGCCGUAA